GACGAACGCUGGCGGCGUGCCUAAUACAUGCAAGUAGAACGCACAGUUUAUACCGUAGCUUGCUACACCAUAGACUGUGAGUUGCGAACGGGUGAGUAACGCGUAGGUAGCCUGCCUGGUAGCGGGGGAUAACUAUUGGAAACGAUAGCUAAUACCGCAUAAUAUUAAUUAUUGCAUGAUAAUUAAUUGAAAGGUGCAAUUGCACCACUACCAGAUGGACCUGCGUUGUAUUAGCUAGUAGGUGAGGUAACGGCUCACCUAGGCGACGAUACAUAGCCGACCUGAGAUGGUGAUCGGCCACACUGGGACGGAGACACGGCCCAGACUCCUACGGGAGGCAGCAGUAGGGAAUCUUCGGCAAUGGACGAAAGUCUGACCGAGCAACGCCGCGUGAGUGAAGAAGGUUUUCGGAUCGUAAAGCUCUGUUGUAAGAGAAGAACGGGUGUGAGAGUGGAAAGUUCACACUGUGACGGUAUCUUACCAGAAAGGGACGGCUAACUACGUG
RNAcentral lists this ribosomal RNA (505 nucleotides) under uncultured bacterium. Its description in RNAcentral is "partial 16S ribosomal RNA". It matches the Rfam family "Bacterial small subunit ribosomal RNA", at positions 28 to 507 of the family's 1533-position model. The record is from RNAcentral.